Molecule: long non-coding RNA, 630 nt
Organism: Rosa chinensis
Lineage: Eukaryota; Viridiplantae; Streptophyta; Magnoliopsida; Rosales; Rosaceae
Exons: 3
Source: RefSeq, a predicted model, not a curated record
CAACGCCUAAACUCAAAGCAUUGUCCCGUCUCUUCAUCGGCUUCCUCACCCCCAUAUUCUCCUCCAUCUGAUACACCAGCCACCGCCUUAGGAAAGUACAAAGGACAUAGCCGCCGCCAUGGGUAAGUAGGAGGUGUCAACAGCCUUGGAUAUCAAGUUUCAAAUUUGGUGAUUCUCCAAAGCUAUGAAGAUAGAGCUGGAACCCUAGAAUCAGGAGCUGGAACUCUAGAAAUCUGGAGGUGGCAAGUCUAGUACCUAUAUGGGAACUUGUUUUCAUCCGGAUACUUAACGUGAAAAUCAAUCGAGGUGACAAAUAAAUAAGUUUGAAGUUAUUUUACUGCAAGGGUGUUUUUAAUAAUGUAAUAUACAUGUGUGUUAUUGUUAAUCAUGCUUGGGUCCUAGACAAGAACUUGGAAUAUAGUUGACCUUUUGUUGUAAAUGUUGUUGUAAACCCCUCUUGUAAUAAAGGUUGUGUUUCAAUUUCGAAAACUUGUCUAGUAUCGUUCUUUUCCAAUUAUUCGUAUUUCGAUUUUGGAAAUUUAUUUCCAUGAUUGGAAUAUAAGUCGCAUCUAAAAAAAAAAAAAAAAAUUUGGAUGUGACAAUUCUAUUUCUCCAUAUUUGUUCCUUAUA